RNAcentral lists this long non-coding RNA (1092 nucleotides) under Homo sapiens (human). RNAcentral's name for it is "non-protein coding lnc-SMOC2-8:2". Lineage: Eukaryota; Metazoa; Chordata; Mammalia; Primates; Hominidae. The record is from RNAcentral.
AGAACUUCUGAGCAACGUGGCAGCUGCCGGGACCGGGCCUCUGAGUGCAGAGAGCAGGCGUUGCCAGGAGCGGACUCAGACAGUGGAGGCCCCUCGCUGACCCUCUCCGGGGCCACUGCAAAGGAAGAAGAAAAGCACAGGCAUCAGCUUCAACAAUGCAAAACAAAGUAAGCUUGAAUUCAGAUGAGGGGCAGUUAAAAUCGCAGCCUAGAAGUCCAAGUGUGGUUUGUAACACUCCAAACCCCAUGUCAGCCUUCAGUGAUUGUUCUGCUGACCAUGUUGCUACAGAGCGGCUUGGGUUUUUCCUUGUGGCAACUCCCCAGGGUGACAGAUUAUUCGGCAAUGUCACCAUUUUGUAGAUGUAUUCGGGAUUUCCAGCCAUAAGCCAUGGAUGAUAUUGGGGAUCCUUUAUUCCUGGUGGGUGCCCAUAAGAGUUUGCAAACUAUACCCAAAAGGGCACGGGAACCCCUAAACUUUCCAGGCUGUCUUGGCACACGGCUCACUAGAACUGUUAACGCCGUCAAAGUAUCUCUGACACGUCCUUAGCCUGUGUUUGAAAACCUGCAGAGAUGGGAUACGCCCCUUUACCAGAGACAGUGCAUUCCGUCCACUGGGAGUGACACACGGCCAAGCCAGGCUUCAAAGAGAGAGGUUCACCGUAUUCCAGUAGUGACUACUGGGAUUUAGGGUUGGAUCACCUUACCAGAGCUUGGAAGCUGCUAGAAGUUAACAUUAAUUUUAUUGUUCUUUAAAAUGAAAGUCCAGCAGGAGGGCCAGGAUUUGGGCAUCUCGGUCCUUCACGAAAAGAAAGGGUGAUGUUGAUUAGCCAUGUUCCACAUCCCCCGAGUUAAAUAUAGGAAUAGUUCUGACAUCUGACUCAAGAAUGUGUUUUCUUGCAUGAUAUUAAGGCAGAUGCACAGAUCCACGUAGAUUAAUCCCCUUCACUAGUAGCAGGGGCCCGAUGAGGUAGCUGAUGAGGAAGAGCCCCCGAGACCAGGCCCAGCGUGGGGCCACGGCCUUGGGAUCUGGACGACACCCCAGCGGUUCUGUGCCGCCAGCAGGCCCUGCCGCAUCUCUGGGCUGGAGCCCUGA